Pangasius djambal is the source of this 73-nucleotide non-coding RNA. Lineage: Eukaryota; Metazoa; Chordata; Actinopteri; Siluriformes; Pangasiidae. The record is from the annotation of a GenBank genome assembly.
UGGUCAGUGGCUGAGUGGUUAGGGUUCUGGACUACUGAUCAGAAGUUUGUGAGUUCGAAUCUCAUGUCCUCCA